AAAGGCCUGCAGCUUGCUGCGGGUACUCGAGUGGCGAACGGGUGAGUAACACGUGGGUGAUCUGCCUUGCACUUCGGGAUAAGCUUGGGAAACUGGGUCUAAUACCGGAUAGGACAGCUGCUUAGUGUCAGUUGUGGAAAGUUUUUUCGGUGCAAGAUGAGCUCGCGGCCUAUCAGCUUGUUGGUGGGGUAAUGGCCUACCAAGGCGUCGACGGGUAGCCGGCCUGAGAGGGUGUACGGCCACAUUGGGACUGAGAUACGGCCCAGACUCCUACGGGAGGCAGCAGUGGGGAAUAUUGCACAAUGGGCGGAAGCCUGAUGCAGCGACGCCGCGUGGGGGAUGAAGGCCUUCGGGUUGUAAACUCCUUUCGACAGGGACGAAGCGUAAGUGACGGUACCUGUAUAAGAAGCACCGGCUAACUACGUGCCAGCAGCCGCGGUAAUACGUAGGGUGCGAGCGUUGUCCGGAAUUACUGGGCGUAAAGAGCUCGUAGGUGGUUUGUCGCGUCGUCUGUGAAAUUCCGGGGCUUAACUCCGGGCGUGCAGGCGAUACGGGCUGACUUGAGUGCUGUAGGGGAGACUGGAAUUCCUGGUGUAGCGGUGAAAUGCGCAGAUAUCAGGAGGAACACCGAUGGCGAAGGCAGGUCUCUGGGCAGUAACUGACGCUGAGGAGCGAAAGCAUGGGUAGCGAACAGGAUUAGAUACCCUGGUAGUCCAUGCCGUAAACGGUGGGCGCUAGGUGUAGGGGGCUUCCACGUCUUCUGUGCCGUAGCUAACGCAUUAAGCGCCCCGCCUGGGGAGUACGCCGCA
RNAcentral lists this ribosomal RNA (809 nucleotides) under uncultured Actinomycetes bacterium. RNAcentral's name for it is "bacterial SSU rRNA". It matches the Rfam family "Bacterial small subunit ribosomal RNA", at positions 70 to 890 of the family's 1533-position model. Lineage: Bacteria; Bacillati; Actinomycetota; Actinomycetes. The record is from RNAcentral.